AAGAACCAACAGGGAUUACCUCAGUAACGGCGAGUGAAGCGGUAACAGCUCAAAUUUGAAAUCUGGCUCUUUCAGGGUCCGAGUUGUAAUUUGUAGAAGAUGCUUUGGGUGUGGCUCCAGUCUAAGUUCCUUGGAACAGGACGUCAUAGAGGGUGAGAAUCCCGUAUGUGAUUGGUGGCUUUCGCCCGUGUAAAGCUCUUUCGACGAGUCGAGUUGUUUGGGAAUGCAGCUCAAAAUGGGUGGUAAAUUUCAUCUAAAGCUAAAUAUUGGCCAGAGACCGAUAGCGCACAAGUAGAGUGAUCGAAAGAUGAAAAGCACUUUGGAAAGAGAGUUAAACAGUACGUGAAAUUGUUGAAAGGGAAGCGUUGGCAACCAGACUCGUAUGCCGCUAAUCAUCCGGGGUUCUCCCCGGUGCACUUGGUGGUUUUCGGGCCAGCAUCGGUUUCGGUGGUGGGAUAAAGGCCUUGGGAAUGUAGCUUCUUUCGGGGAGUGUUAUAGCCCUCGGUGUAAUGCCGCCUACCGGGACCGAGGACCGCGCUUCGGCUAGGAUGCUGGCGUAAUGGUUGUCAACGGCCCGUCUUGAAACACGGACCAAGGAGUCUAACAUCUAUGCGAGUAUUUGGGUGUUAAACCCAUAUGCGUAAUGAAAGUGAACGGAGGUAAGAGCCCUUAAGGGUGCAUUAUCGACCGAUCCUGAUGUCUUCGGAUGGAUUUGAGUAAGAGCAUAGCUGUUGGGACCCGAAAGAUGGUGAACUAUGCCUAAAUAGGGUGAAGCCAGAGGAAACUCUGGUGGAGGCUCGCAGCGGUUCUGACGUGCAAAUCGAUCGUCAAAUUUGGGUAUAGGGGCGAAAGACUAAUCGAACCAUUGGAAUAACUACUAGGUGGUUAAAAGGCGCAAGUCUAGUCCUGCACAGGGCAACAUUGUCAAAUUGUUCGGGGAUCUCCCGCACUUCUCAGCUACCGCAGCUCGGCGAAAGGCGGCGCGCACCAGGGUAACGCCCUCGGGGAUGGUAAGAACGCUGAAAAGGGGACGAUUCCGCAGCUUCCUCCUAACG
This 1055-nucleotide ribosomal RNA is filed under the name Erioscyphella abnormis. Its description in RNAcentral is "partial large subunit ribosomal RNA". The stretch from base 1 to 590 matches the Rfam family "Eukaryotic large subunit ribosomal RNA", at positions 56 to 664 of the family's 3401-position model. The record is from RNAcentral. Lineage: Eukaryota; Fungi; Ascomycota; Leotiomycetes; Helotiales; Lachnaceae.